RNAcentral lists this ribosomal RNA (425 nucleotides) under uncultured bacterium. RNAcentral's name for it is "partial 16S ribosomal RNA". It matches the Rfam family "Bacterial small subunit ribosomal RNA", at positions 354 to 796 of the family's 1533-position model. The record is from RNAcentral.
GUGGGGAAUAUUGGACAAUGGGCGCAAGCCUGAUCCAGCAAUGCCGCGUGGGUGAAGAAGGUCUUCGGAUCGUAAAGCCCUUUCGACAGGGACGAUGAUGACGGUACCUGUAGAAGAAGCCCCGGCUAACUUCGUGCCAGCAGCCGCGGUAAUACGAAGGGGGCUAGCGUUACUCGGAAUUACUGGGCGUAAAGGGCGCGUAGGCGGCUCUGUUAGUCAGGCGUGAAAUUCCUGGGCUUAACCUGGGGACUGCGCUUGAUACUGCAGGGCUUGAGGCCGAGAGAGGGUGGUGGAAUUCCCAGUGUAGAGGUGAAAUUCGUAGAUAGUGGGAAGAACACCGGUGGCGAAGGCGACCACCUGGCUCGGUUCUGACGCUGAGGCGCGACAGCGUGGGGAGCAAACAGGAUUAGAAACCCUUGUAGUCC